UGGGAAGUAGCUCAAUUGGUAGAGCACCGGUUUUUGGUACCGUAGGUUGCAGGUUCGAGUCCUGCCUUCCCAGCCA
This 76-nucleotide transfer RNA is filed under the name Pseudomonadota bacterium. RNAcentral's name for it is "tRNA-Gln". It matches the Rfam family "tRNA". From Rfam's summary of the family: Transfer RNA (tRNA) molecules are approximately 80 nucleotides in length. Their secondary structure includes four short double-helical elements and three loops (D, anti-codon, and T loops). Further hydrogen bonds mediate the characteristic L-shaped molecular structure. tRNAs have two regions of fundamental functional importance: the anti-codon, which is responsible for specific mRNA codon recognition, and the 3' end, to which the tRNAs corresponding amino acid is attached (by aminoacyl-tRNA synthetases). tRNAs cope with the degeneracy of the genetic code in two manners: having more than one tRNA (with a specific anti-codon) for a particular amino acid; and 'wobble' base-pairing, i.e. permitting non-standard base-pairing at the 3rd anti-codon position. RNAcentral also lists the same sequence under 3 other names. The record is from RNAcentral. Lineage: Bacteria; Pseudomonadati; Pseudomonadota.